Molecule: ribosomal RNA, 497 nt
Filed under: uncultured bacterium
Lineage: Bacteria
Description: partial 16S ribosomal RNA
Rfam family: Bacterial small subunit ribosomal RNA
Source: RNAcentral
GAUGAACGCUGGCGGCGUGCCUAAUACAUGCAAGUCGAGCGAACGGACGAGAAGCUUGCUUCUCUGAUGUUAGCGGCGGACGGGUGAGUAACACGUGGAUAACCUACCUAUAAGACUGGGAUAACUUCGGGAAACCGGAGCUAAUACCGGAUAAUAUUUUGAACCGCAUGGUUCAAAAGUAAAAGACGGUCUUGCUGUCACUUAUAGAUGGAUCCGCGCUGCAUUAGCUAGUUGGUAAGGUAACGGCUUACCAAGGCAACGAUGCAUAGCCGACCUGAGAGGGUGAUCGGCCACACUGGAACUGAGACACGGUCCAGACUCCUACGGGAGGCAGCAGUAGGGAAUCUUCCGCAAUGGGCGAACGCCUGACGGAGCAACGCCGCGUGAGUGAUGAAGGUCUUCGGAUCGUAAAACUCUGUUAUUAGGGAAGAACAUAUGUGUAAGUAACUGUGCACAUCUUGACGGUACCUAAUUAGAAAGCCACGGCUAACUACGUG